RNAcentral lists this ribosomal RNA (448 nucleotides) under uncultured bacterium. RNAcentral's name for it is "bacterial SSU rRNA". It matches the Rfam family "Bacterial small subunit ribosomal RNA", at positions 328 to 793 of the family's 1533-position model. The record is from RNAcentral.
GAACCAGACUCCUACGGGAGGCAGCAGUGGGGAAUAUUGCACAAUGGGGGGAACCCUGAUGCAGCGACGCCGCGUGGGUGAAGGAGUACCUCGGUGCGUAAAGCCCUAUCGGCAGGGAAGAAACAGACGGUACCUGACUAAGAAGCCCCGACUAACUAAGUGCCAGCAGCCGCGGGAAUACGUAGGGGGCAAGCGUUAUCCGGAUUCACUGGGUGUAAAGGGAGCGUAGACGGCGACGCAAGUCUGGAGUGAAAGCCCGGGGCCCAACCCCGGGACUGCUCUGGAAACUGCGUCGCUGGAGUACGGGAGGGGCAGGCGGAAUUCCUGGUGUAGCGGUGAAAUGCGUAGAUAUCAGGAGGAACACCGGCGGCGAAGGCGGCCUGCUGGACCGUGACUGACGUUGAGGCUCGAGAGCGUGGGGAGCAAACAGGAUUAGAUACCCCCGUAC